This 234-nucleotide long non-coding RNA is filed under the name Mytilus galloprovincialis (Mediterranean mussel). The record is from RNAcentral. Lineage: Eukaryota; Metazoa; Mollusca; Bivalvia; Mytilida; Mytilidae.
ACUAUUUUAUUUAGGGACGACAUCAAAAGUUCAAUGAAGGAUAAAAAACUUAAUUCAAAUAGUUUUUUCACUUACCCCCCUAUUAACUUAGUUUGGGAAAAAUUGAUUGACCCAUAUGGAUAUAUGUAAAAAUCAAUGUCGGAUAACCAAAUCUUGCAGCAGUUCAACCCCAACCCCCAAACUAUUUGCAUUAAGUUUUUCAUCUUACCUUGAUCUUUUGAUGUCGUCCCUUAC